UACGGAGGGUGCAAGCGUUAUCCGGAUUCACUGAGCUUAAAGGGUGCGUAGGCGGGGAAGUAAGUCCGUGGUGAAAUCUCUGAGCUUAACUCAGAAACUGCCGUGGAUACUAUUUGCCUUGAAUAUUGUGGAGGUGAGCGGAAUAUGUCAUGUAGCGGUGAAAUGCGUAGAUAUUGGGAGGAACACCAGUGGCGAAGGCGGCUCACUGGACCGGUACUGACGCUGAUGCGCGAAAGCGUGGGGAGCAAACGGG
This 253-nucleotide ribosomal RNA is filed under the name uncultured bacterium. RNAcentral's name for it is "partial 16S ribosomal RNA". It matches the Rfam family "Bacterial small subunit ribosomal RNA", at positions 524 to 776 of the family's 1533-position model. The record is from RNAcentral.